This 1289-nucleotide long non-coding RNA is filed under the name Homo sapiens (human). RNAcentral describes it as "CSMD2 antisense RNA 1". The record is from RNAcentral. Lineage: Eukaryota; Metazoa; Chordata; Mammalia; Primates; Hominidae.
ACUUGUCACACUUCCAUCAAACAGUACCUGCCCCUUAGGUGUGCUAGGGAAUAAAUGAAAUGCCUGGGACAUCAUCGUUAAGUGGCAUCUGAUGCAUAAGCAGUGCCCUAGGAAUGGGGUUGCCUGCCUUGGUCUCUAAAGGAUGGGUUCAAAAGGCAAGAGCAGCACACAAGAAGAUAGCUUCAAGCAGGAGAUAAAGCUUGGCCCAGGGCCCAAAGGGGAUACGACCCUUCAGGUUGGCCCUGACCUCUGGGUUGGAUUACCAGUGACACAAUGAACAUUUCAUUAUGAGGCCAUCCCUUGAGCAAACUGACAUGCUGAAAGCUGCCCUAUGGAGAGGCUCAUGUGGCAAGGAACAGAGGGUGGCUUCUGGCCAACACCCAGUGAGGAACUCAGGCCCUCAGUCAAACAGCCUGCAAGGAACUGAACCCUGCCAAUAACCAGGCAGUGUCAGCCCCCGGCCAAUGACCACCAUGGACCUCCCUGUAGUUGAACAAAGUUGGGUUUGCUGACUGGUGGCAGUGAGGGAGAAUGCACACCACAGGGAGCUGUGCAGUGUCUCAGUAAGAAGCCAGGAGCCAUCCCGUGAGGCCGUUACUGCAAACAAGCUGAAAAUCCUGCUUUGUUUCUUUUGGACACAACAUGCUUUCCUUCAGCUUCAGUAGACGAUGAGGCCAGCACCACAUGGGCUAGAUGUACAUGAGAUGUGAGCAACCACACUUCCCCUCUGACGGGGACAGACAGCAUCACAGGACAUGAAGUUCUAAGAGGUUCAGUGACUUGUCUAAGAUUAAACAGCUAUGAAUGGAGAACUGGAGGCAAAUGCCUCAUCAUCUCUCACCUGGGCAACUGCAACAAUGAGCAGUUUGUGUCUGUGCCUGCAUCCAUCCUUCCAUCCUGUACUCCAGCAGCAGCCAGGGUGGUCUUUCAAAAAUGCAAAGCUGAUAAUGUUACUCCCCUGCUGUAAACCUUCCAGCGGUUUCCUAUUGCCUUCAGAAUAAAAUACGAAUCAUCUGGCCUCCAUCUAUCUCUCCAGGCUCAUCCUCUCUCAAUUUUCCAUAUCCUUCAGGCUGAGCUCUGAAACUUCUCCUGGCAGUUCAAGAGAGCGAUGGAGGGAAUGCUGGGGCACAUCUAAAUAAAGCCUCCAAGUGGGAGUUCCUGCUCAGCUAUGCAUGAGCUCUUUGUGACUUCAUCUCCCAGCCUACAACUUGUGAAAUAAGCACGACUUCACUCAGAGCACAGCCAGAAACAUACAAACUUUCCAAAAAUAUUUGAAUGUUGACAGCAGA